GAGUGGAGUAUAAUUAAAAUACUCCUAUUUUUCAAAAUUAACCAAUCACUAAAAUUUAAGGGUGUGACAGGGCAGUGACGCUGGUGAAAGCAGGAAUUGAAGAUUUGAGGAAGCGUCAUGUUUUAGCAUCAGUCGGAAAGGGGGACUCGUUAGAAACAGACGUAAAGUCGGAAAGGGGGACUCAUUAGAAACAGACGUAAAGUCGGAAAGGGGGACCCGUGAGAAACAGACAUAAAUUCGGAAACCGGGAGUUGAAAGAAACAGACGUAAAUUCGGAAACCGGGGUCGUAGAAUUAGCUGCAAAAAGUUACACACCGGGCUCCGAAGCAGUUAGACAUAAAGGUUACUGACAUUGAAACUGUAUCAAAAGUGGUUAAACAAGUGUUCAAUAUAAUUCGUCCAAACUUGAGAUGUGCUUGUGAUUUGUGUUAUUUAUUCCUUUUCUGAGUUGUGGCCCGUUCAAGGCUCUGAGAUAAGAGGUACUCAGCUCUACCAAACCAACAAAACCCCCUCCUUUAAAAUAACCCUGAGAUAAAUUUAGCAACAAGAAAGAAGAACCUACUAGAGGCGACCCAGCGUGAGAAGAAGGAAGGAGGUGAGGAAAAAGGGCGGUAAGAGAAUAUACUUCUUUGUAUGGGUACAAUUCCUCAGUAAUAAAUAAACUGAACACAAGAAACUCUCUGGACACUGAUGGGUGUGUAGCCUUCAACUUGGUGUUAGUUGUUGCCUGUUAAUUAGGCUGAAAUGAAUUGUGCAGUUUUUAUUUUUAAGAGGUAUAUCUGUUAUAUCUGAUUUGUCUUCACUCUUGAAGCUGUAUGCUUCAUCCAACAAACAUUGUGGGGUAGAUUACUGUACAUUUGGGAUGUCUUUGAAAAAUGCUGUUUGUAUCUCUGCAGCUGACCAUAAAUGUACACAUCCUUUGUGUUUCAUUAUUUACUAAUUUUCCUGUCCUUAGACACUGUAUACAGGGAAGUCUCUAUUUAAGGUUUCUGUAGGGAACAGUGGGAUUUAAUUUAAUUUAAUUUCCCCAGUUAUGAUGUAACAGUACUUCAGCUACAUCAUCAUCAUCAUCAUCACCACCGCCGCCGCCGCCGCCGUCAUCAUCAUGAAGCACCAGCUGCCGUCCUGUUCCAACACAAGGAGUAACUGCUGUCACUCCUGGUGUACAAUCGAGGAAUCCUCGGCUUGCUUGUCAGCAACUGCAAUCUGAUGCAGUUCCAGAAAAUAGUAUGGUACAGCCACAAGACGAUGUCAAAAGUGGAGUCUACCAACUGAUUGAUUUUUGCUAAGAGAAGUCCCAUUAACAUGGGUCCAGUUUGCAAAACAUUAAGGAGCCAGGUCAGUAUUAAAGUCAGAUAAAACUGUACCAGAAAUAGUGGUUUUUGAUAAGAGAAUUCAGUAUCACUUCAAUACAAAACAAAAACAAGUGUUAUUAAUAAUGAAACAUGAUGCCAAAACUGUUCAGAUUGUCAGCCUGUGACUUGAAUGCACAUCUGAGCUUGCUAUAUUGUAAACUGUUCAAUGUGUCUUGAAUGUGCAUUUCAGUGCAGUGUAGUAUGGAAGUGUUUACAUUCUUAGAAAUGUGAUUUUUUCAGAUAUAUAGAUCACCUAAAAUUCUCUGAAGCAUUGUUCUUCUCUUUGUUCUUUGUAUAUAGACUGGUCCCUCCUCAUGGCCCCAGAGAUGACAGUACAAAGGGUUUAAAUCACAGGAUCUUGCUGGCCAUGCAUGUGAUCCUCCCUGGCUGUCACAACAGAUUUGAUAGUUAGGAUAACAUAAUCCAUUGCCUGUCGUUAAACAUGAAGGUGACAUUCUUCAGGAUGUAGGUUCAAAAUAUAUAUGUAUGUGCGCUCAUAUGUAUAUUCAAGUCACAGGCAAAUUGUCAUAACCUCUUCUGUUAUUAAAUAAAAUGCACUUUGGUUUUACAUUAAACUAAAAUAGAGUAAAAUUUUUUGUUGGAAAUUCUGAUUUCUUGUAUGUUUUUCAAACUGCUGUGGCAGCAUAAACUUUCAUGUGACUUGAAGUACUCACUACAGAAAUUGUGCUGUAUACAGCAGUAAACCGAAAGUAUUGAUACAUGAAUCGUUUUUGUUAUUGACUGAUCGUAGAGAAAGUGAAUCCUUAUUAGAAUUGAAUUAUUUAGAAGGAUUAGGAAAGUCUAGAGGUUUGUUAUACUGAAGGGGGGAUGUGAUUCAUGCAUAUUUAUGCUAGAACAUUGUUCCUGUUCAGAAAUAACUUGUGGGCAUUAAAAUAAGUUUGUACUAUACCAAGUUUUUCUUUAUUUAGUUAUUUUUUUCUAUUUUUCUACCUACUUUUUCUUGUUCAAGUUCAUACUAGAAGAUGGAUUUUUCCUUUGUUCUAUGGAAGAGAGUGAAUAAGAAUCUUACACAGUGCACACAUAGGCAUGCAGUUCAUGGCUGUUACAUUUCUAUCUUAGUACUGUUCGUGUAGUUGACUACUUAUGUACUCUGACGUGGGAACUUUCCAGUUUGUGGUUGGGGUUAGUGCGGUCUGUAUUUUCCUAUUGCAUGUGUAGCAUGUGAAAAACCAGACUUAUCCUAGUUAGGUGUUUAGUGAAACUAUGCUGUUGACUGCGUAAUUAAAGGGUGGGCUGUGCUAGCCCUUAUAGAGCAGUCAUCAGUCUGUUAAAUAUGAUUAUAUGCAAUGUUGCUAACGUGUAUUUUACAACUUCUGCUUUGCAAACCGUGACGUAUCAAGGCUCUGUCUUACCACCAGAAAAUAGCUGUACCAUUAGGUAGGCCACACAGUGGCAUGUGUCAAGACAUGUAACAGUCAAGACCCGAUGUCUGCGACAUGACGCAAAGAAAGGAGCACAGUUGAAACGAACGAGAUAAAAACUGCCGCAUACUGGUCUGAGUAAUGAUGCUGACGAAUCAUGAAUGAAGCAAGACUGCGUCUUUUAUCUCAUGUCUUGAUGCUUGGUUGACAAAGUUGCUGUGUGGCCGCCCUUACACCUUCUCUUGGAGCAGCCCUUGCAUAGCAAUAUAAUAGUACUUCUGAAGUAGCUACAAGUGUACAGUAUUUUGUAUCUUGCAGCAGUCUUUGCUUUGCAGUGUAACCUGACUGUAGAAGUAACCGCAAAGCAAUAUAAUAGUACUUCUGAAGUAGCUACAGGUGUACAGUAUUUUGUAUCUUGCAGCAGUCUUUGCUUUGCAGUGUAACCUGACUGUAGAAGUAACCACAAAUUUACACUGUUUACAUCUCCUGGAGUGAUCUUUGCAUUGCACUAUAACCUGAUUGCUGA
Long non-coding RNA from Cryptotermes secundus, 3263 nucleotides. RefSeq lists it as uncharacterized. The transcript is spliced from 3 exons. The record is from RefSeq and is a predicted model, not a curated record. Lineage: Eukaryota; Metazoa; Arthropoda; Insecta; Blattodea; Kalotermitidae.